GACGAACGCUGGCGGCGUGCUUAACACAUGCAAGUCGAACGGAAAGGCCCUGCUUUUGUGGGGUGCUCGAGUGGCGAACGGGUGAGUAACACGUGAGUAACCUGCCCUUGACUUUGGGAUAACUUCAGGAAACUGGGGCUAAUACCGGAUAGGAGCUCCUGCUGCAUGGUGGGGGUUGGAAAGUUUCGGCGGUUGGGGAUGGACUCGCGGCUUAUCAGCUUGUUGGUGGGGUAGUGGCUUACCAAGGCUUUGACGGGUAGCCGGCCUGAGAGGGUGACCGGCCACAUUGGGACUGAGAUACGGCCCAGACUCCUACGGGAGGCAGCAGUGGGGAAUAUUGCACAAUGGGCGGAAGCCUGAUGCAGCAACGCCGCGUGCGGGAUGACGGCCUUCGGGUUGUAAACCGCUUUCGCCUGUGACGAAGCGUGAGGGACGGGAAUGGGGAAAGAAGCACCGGCUAACUACGU
This 467-nucleotide ribosomal RNA is filed under the name uncultured bacterium. RNAcentral's name for it is "partial 16S ribosomal RNA". It matches the Rfam family "Bacterial small subunit ribosomal RNA", at positions 28 to 506 of the family's 1533-position model. The record is from RNAcentral.